GAAAACUGUAUGUCGACCGAACUGCGCAUGCGUGGGCAAAAGCAAAACAAAUUGUUUGAAAUAUUUUAUUGUUUCGUCCAUAAAAUGAUGUUUUUUUCUGGAUUUUGGUGGAAAUGUUGAUGUUCUUCAUAGUGGGAUACAAAAGGUGUGUUAGCGACUGAAUAAGGAAAAUAUUGCGUGUGAAACAGGGUCAGUAUAGAGCCGGCAGGAGCCGCGAAGAGUGUUGUUGUCGAAGAAAAAUGUCACAAUUAAUUGUAAUCUUGUCCAUUCACCUCUGUGUCAGUUUAAAAAAGCUUUAAAUGUAGAGACAUUUGUGGUUCCUCCAGCAUAAUUUAGCCGUUUAACGCUACUAUGUUUCUAAUGGUUGAAAGAGCGCGUGGAAAGGGCAAUUUUCAAGAACAAAAACAAUUACAAUAGUGUGUGUUUAAUAAUUGCUACUGUAGUAUUAAAAUACCUGAAGAGAGUCUCAAUUCUAAUAUUAAGUCGGUUAUAAACCUUGAUAAUAUUAAAGUUUUCAGAAUAUUUGUAUAUCAGAGAAUAUUAAAAGGAAUUUAGACAUAUAAAACAUAUAAUUAAAAAUAUGAAUAUAGUGAAUUCCAUGUUUGUAUUGUGUUUAAUAUCAUCUCUAGAAAUUAACAGUUUAUAAACCAAAUCCUUGUUAUAUUUUUAACUGCCCUUAUAUGCAACAGCACUUUUCAAAUUAUUGAAUUAUAACCAAAUUGUAGCAUUCAGGGGUGUCGCUAGC
RNAcentral lists this long non-coding RNA (745 nucleotides) under Paramuricea clavata. Lineage: Eukaryota; Metazoa; Cnidaria; Anthozoa; Malacalcyonacea; Plexauridae. The record is from RNAcentral.